This 472-nucleotide ribosomal RNA is filed under the name uncultured Acidovorax sp. Its description in RNAcentral is "bacterial SSU rRNA". It matches the Rfam family "Bacterial small subunit ribosomal RNA", at positions 906 to 1382 of the family's 1533-position model. The record is from RNAcentral. Lineage: Bacteria; Pseudomonadati; Pseudomonadota; Betaproteobacteria; Burkholderiales; Comamonadaceae.
GGAAUUGACGGGGCCCGCGACAAGCGGUGAGCAUGUGGUUAAUUCGAUGAUACGCGAAGAACUACCGGGUUUGACAUGCAGGUGAUCGCGUUGAAAGACGGUUUCCUCUUCGGAGGCACCUGCACAGGGUGCUGCAUGGCUGUCGUCAGCUCGUGUCGUGAGAUGUUGGGUUAAGUCCCGCAACGAGCGCAACCCUUAUCCCUAGUUGCCAUCAGGUAAAGCUGGGAACUCUGGGGAGACUGCCGGUGACAAACCGGAGGAAGUGGGGAUGACGUCAAGUCCUCAUGGCCCUUAUAGGUGGGGCUACACACGUCAUACAAUGGAUGGUACAAAGGGUCGCCAACCCGCGAGGGGGAGCCAAUCCCAUAAAGCCAUUCGUAGUCCGGAUCGCAGUCUGCAACUCGACUGCGUGAAGUCGGAAUCGCUAGUAAUCGUGGAUCAGAAUGUCACGGUGAAUACGUUCCCGGGUCUU